This 147-nucleotide non-coding RNA is filed under the name Pedobacter soli. The record is from RNAcentral. Lineage: Bacteria; Pseudomonadati; Bacteroidota; Sphingobacteriia; Sphingobacteriales; Sphingobacteriaceae.
CCUGUUGUUUCGUCAGCAGUAACCUAUCGGCACAUGCAUUACUGGUAACGGUUUUGUAUGAAGCUGCCGAGUAAAAGAGCCCUUUCGGAUGAAGGAGCAUAAGCCGUGAGGCUUAGCAACAAUCUUUAGUAUCAUAAGAUUGGGGCU